UAGGUUGGAAGAGUACAGUGGACAACGGG
This 29-nucleotide non-coding RNA is filed under the name Mus musculus (house mouse). The record is from RNAcentral. Lineage: Eukaryota; Metazoa; Chordata; Mammalia; Rodentia; Muridae.